RNAcentral lists this ribosomal RNA (373 nucleotides) under uncultured organism. RNAcentral's name for it is "partial 16S ribosomal RNA". It matches the Rfam family "Bacterial small subunit ribosomal RNA", at positions 527 to 896 of the family's 1533-position model. The record is from RNAcentral.
GUAGGGUGCGAGCGUUGUCCGGAUUUAUUGGGCGUAAAGGGCUCGUAGGUGGUUGAUCGCGUCGGAAGUGUAAUCUUGGGGCUUAACCCUGAGCGUGCUUUCGAUACGGGUUGACUUGAGGAAGGUAGGGGAGAAUGGAAUUCCUGGUGGAGCGGUGGAAUGCGCAGAUAUCAGGAGGAACACCAGUGGCGAAGGCGGUUCUCUGGGCCUUUCCUGACGCUGAGGAGCGAAAGCGUGGGGAGCGAACAGGGCUUAGAUACCCUGGUAGUCCACGCUGUAAACGGUGGGUACUAGGUGUGGGUCCCAUUCCACGGGUUCCGUGCCGUAGCUAACGCUUUAAGUACCCCGCCUGGGGAGUACGGCCGCAAGGCUA